Papaver somniferum (opium poppy) is the source of this 267-nucleotide long non-coding RNA. RefSeq lists it as uncharacterized. Lineage: Eukaryota; Viridiplantae; Streptophyta; Magnoliopsida; Ranunculales; Papaveraceae. The transcript is spliced from 3 exons. The record is from RefSeq and is a predicted model, not a curated record.
GAGAGCUUUAGGUUUGAUUAAUAAUGGUGAAUUUGAUGAUGAUGAUGAUGAUGGUGAAGAUGAUGAUGAAAGUGAGGUGGAUAUUGGUGGGGAUUCGUUGAAUCAGUUUGGUGAUGAUGAAACUAUUCAGGUGAUGUGAAAGGUGUCGAGGAAUUGUUGAAGGAAGGGACGGAUGUGAAUAGUAUUGAUUUGGAUGGAAGGACUGCGUGAUGAGUGCUAAAAAGUACCAAAUAAAGUCUGGAUGAUUUGCGGAGCAGAAAAGUAGUG